Molecule: long non-coding RNA, 462 nt
Organism: Pipra filicauda (Wire-tailed manakin)
Lineage: Eukaryota; Metazoa; Chordata; Aves; Passeriformes; Pipridae
Exons: 4
Source: RefSeq, a predicted model, not a curated record
AAGAUCCUCACACUUUACCUCUUGUUAAAGGCCAGCUAGUACUUAAAAGAACCCCAGUAGAUUGCUUCUUUCAACAGCUUUUGAAGCCGAUAAAAAAAGAAUGUGUCAAAAUGUCUGACAACACCGACCACCAAGAGACAGAUGAAACUGCAGAUACAAGCCAGUGUUAUACAUCACUAAGCAGGCAUGCUUUGAGAGCAUGUGUGUCUGGGGAACUCAGCUUGCUGUAAUUCCAUAAACAUUCGUCUUCCCUGCAGAAUCAAGAGGCUGAAGGGAAUCAAUCAGGUCUCUCCCAUGUGGAUCUUCAGGAACUUUGCCAGAAUUAAACUCUCUGAGUACUCCACUGCUGUCAGAUGUCACUGAGUCACCGGAGGCCGCAAAGUUACUAAGGAUGGGCAGGACACAUGUGCAUAUGAACCACUGUGGCAUAAAUCUUUUCCUUCAGAAAACCAGGCUAGGACC